GAACGGGUGAGUAAUGCAUCGGAACGUGCCCUGAAGUGGGGGAUAACGCAGCGAAAGUUGCGCUAAUACCGCAUAUUCUGUGAGCAGGAAAGCAGGGGAUCGCAAGACCUUGCGCUUUAGGAGCGGCCGAUGUCGGAUUAGCUAGUUGGUGGGGUAAAGGCUCACCAAGGCGACGAUCCGUAGCGGGUCUGAGAGGAUGAUCCGCCACACUGGGACUGAGACACGGCCCAGACUCCUACGGGAGGCAGCAGUGGGGAAUUUUGGACAAUGGGCGAAAGCCUGAUCCAGCCAUGCCGCGUGAGUGAAGAAGGCCUUCGGGUUGUAAAGCUCUUUCGGCGGGGAAGAAAUCGCAUUCUCUAAUACAGGAUGUGGAUGACGGUACCCGAAUAAGAGGCACCGGCUAACUACGUGCCAGCAGCCGCGGUAAUACGUAGGGUGCGAGCGUUAAUCGGAAUUACUGGGCGUAAAGCGUGCGCAGGCGGUUUCGUAAGACAGACGUGAGAUCCCCGGGGCUCACCUGGGAACUGCGUUUGUGACUG
This 539-nucleotide ribosomal RNA is filed under the name uncultured bacterium. RNAcentral describes it as "bacterial SSU rRNA". It matches the Rfam family "Bacterial small subunit ribosomal RNA", at positions 100 to 635 of the family's 1533-position model. The record is from RNAcentral.